Molecule: ribosomal RNA, 204 nt
Filed under: uncultured bacterium
Lineage: Bacteria
Description: partial 16S ribosomal RNA
Rfam family: Bacterial small subunit ribosomal RNA
Source: RNAcentral
UACGUAGGGUGCAAGCGUUGUCCGGAAUUAUUGGGCGUAAAGAGCUCGUAGGCGGUCUGUCGCGUCUGCUGUGAAAACCUAGGGCUUAACUCUGGGCGUGCAGUGGGUACGGGCAGGCUAGAGUGCGGUAGGGGAGACUGGAAUUCCUGGUGUAGCGGUGAAAUGCGCAGAUAUCAGGAGGAACACCAGUGGCGAAGGCGGCUC